Molecule: ribosomal RNA, 796 nt
Filed under: Subramaniula fusispora
Lineage: Eukaryota; Fungi; Ascomycota; Sordariomycetes; Sordariales; Chaetomiaceae
Also listed under: 1 other name
Description: eukaryotic LSU rRNA
Rfam family: Eukaryotic large subunit ribosomal RNA
Source: RNAcentral
GUGAAGCGGCAACAGCUCAAAUUUGAAAUCUGGCUUCGGCCCGAGUUGUAAUUUGCAGAGGAAGCUUUAGGCGCGGCACCAUCUGAGUCCCCUGGAACGGGGCGCCACAGAGGGUGAGAGCCCCGUAUAGAUGGACGCCUAGCCUGUGUAAAGCUCCUUCGACGAGUCGAGUAGUUUGGGAAUGCUGCUCAAAAUGGGAGGUAAAUUUCUUCUAAAGCUAAAUAUUGGCCAGAGACCGAUAGCGCACAAGUAGAGUGAUCGAAAGAUGAAAAGCACUUUGAAAAGAGGGUUAAAUAGCACGUGAAAUUGUUGAAAGGGAAGCGCUUGUGACCAGACUUGCGCCGGGCGGAUCAUCCGGUGUUCUCACCGGUGCACUCCGCCCGGCUCAGGCCAGCAUCGGUUCUCGCGGGGGGAUAAAGGCCCUGGGAACGUAGCUCCUCCGGGAGUGUUAUAGCCCAGGGUGUAAUGCCCUCGCGGGGACCGAGGUUCGCGCAUCUGCAAGGAUGCUGGCGUAAUGGUCAUCAGCGACCCGUCUUGAAACACGGACCAAGGAGUCAAGGUUUUGCGCGAGUGUUUGGGUGUAAAACCCGCACGCGUAAUGAAAGUGAACGUAGGUGAGAGCUUCGGCGCAUCAUCGACCGAUCCUGAUGUUUUCGGAUGGAUUUGAGUAGGAGCGUUAAGCCUUGGACCCGAAAGAUGGUGAACUAUGCUUGGAUAGGGUGAAGCCAGAGGAAACUCUGGUGGAGGCUCGCAGCGGUUCUGACGUGCAAAUCGAUCGUCAAAUCUGAGCAUGGGG